GCCUGGGUGGCUCAGUCGGUUGGGCGUACGACUUCGGCUCAGGUCAUGAUCUCGCGGUCCGUGGGUUCGAGCCCCGCCUCGGGCU
This 85-nucleotide transfer RNA is filed under the name Felis catus (domestic cat). It matches the Rfam family "tRNA". From Rfam's summary of the family: Transfer RNA (tRNA) molecules are approximately 80 nucleotides in length. Their secondary structure includes four short double-helical elements and three loops (D, anti-codon, and T loops). Further hydrogen bonds mediate the characteristic L-shaped molecular structure. tRNAs have two regions of fundamental functional importance: the anti-codon, which is responsible for specific mRNA codon recognition, and the 3' end, to which the tRNAs corresponding amino acid is attached (by aminoacyl-tRNA synthetases). tRNAs cope with the degeneracy of the genetic code in two manners: having more than one tRNA (with a specific anti-codon) for a particular amino acid; and 'wobble' base-pairing, i.e. permitting non-standard base-pairing at the 3rd anti-codon position. Lineage: Eukaryota; Metazoa; Chordata; Mammalia; Carnivora; Felidae. The record is from Rfam by way of RNAcentral.